Molecule: long non-coding RNA, 1118 nt
Organism: Oreochromis niloticus (Nile tilapia)
Lineage: Eukaryota; Metazoa; Chordata; Actinopteri; Cichliformes; Cichlidae
Exons: 3
Source: RefSeq, a predicted model, not a curated record
CAGGGGUUGUUCUUCAUCAGCUCCGGGUUCAGGAAGGGAUCCUCUGGGACACCAUCCUCUAUCCAUUUUACCAAACUGUGUGGAGAGAAAAAUAGAAAGAGCGGCAUUUUUUAAAUUCCUGAGCCACCCCCAAGGAUUUGGUUUCAAGCAUCAGUGCAGCUAUCAGUCGGAUCGAUCUUCUUCCCAAAGAUCUUGUAAUAAGUUCCUAAAACUAUAUGCAAUUAGAAAAUCUGAUCCGUCCAUCCGACAUAGUGGGAUCAGCACUUCUUUUACACAACCUGUAGAGACUAAUGCAUCAGUAAUAUGCACUGCAGGUCAUAUCCAUUUCAUCCAUGGAAGUAAGAAAUGCAAUUAGCUAAAGCCAGAAUCACUCCUAUGGAGACAAAAAACAGCAGCGUAUUUUAUUGUGAGAUAAGAGAUAACUAAUUACAGGUCAUGUCUUUUUGCCCCCUGCUGGCCAUUUGAAAGAAUGCAGAUUUAAGCCACUUCUUACUGGCUUUACUUUCAAACUCGGAAGCUAAUCUUUUACGUACAAUAAUCUUACAGAUGACUUUUUCUGCAAUAAUCUUGUAAUAGAAUGAGUUAUUUUUAUUGGUAAUGUUGCUCCGUUAUUGUAGGGUCUUUACCUUAUAAUAUAAAACAUUGUGAGGUCAUUGUUGUGAUUUGUUUCUAUUAAAUAAAACUGAACUGAAUUGAAUCAUUAAUCCCGCUUAAAAAAUGCUGAUCUGUUCCUGUUAAACAGUAUAUUCAGGUCCUCACAUAACCCACUGAGGUACUCAUUACAAACAAUGUAUACCUAUAUCUGCACCUGUACGUAUCAUCUGAUUUACAAUUAAUAAACAAUGCAACAUUAAUAUCAGUUACAGGAUCUCUCAGCGGCCAACUCUGUGCAAAAGUGGAGUAUUUUUUCUCUUCAGCAGUGUCUUUUUUGGUCCGUUCCUCCCUCCUGCUCUCUCUUGCUCCCCUCCCACGCUUUGUGUCCACUCCACUCUCUCAGUAAUACGCAGCCCCUCUUGUAUUGUGCUUGUGUUUGUGUACCCCUGUGCGUGCUUUUAUGAGUCAUGUGAGGAUUCGGGUGAGAUGAGUGCUUGUCUAGUCUGCACUCAGAAUUGAUCUUG